UUAAUUCCAAUAUUAGAAAAACAUAAAAUUUAUAACUACUACUCCUAUCAUUCACAUUAUAUUCUAAAUACCCAUAAUAUAUAUCCUUGUAAAUAUCAAACCAUAAAACUGAUGUUAAAAAGUCACAAGCCCCCAACACCAAACAAAUAAUCUUCUUCUUCAUCAUCACAGUAGUGACCAAUAAUCAUCAACAUCACUAUUAGCAUAAUCUGAAUCCCCGUCUUCCUCGUCGUAGUCAGAAUCAUCAUCAUCAUCAUCCUCGUCUAGGUCAUCAUCAUCAUCGCUUUCCAUGACAUCAUCGUCGUCUUCUUCCUUUACUUCUGACUCUUUAAUUUCUUCACUUAACGAAAGUGGCACUAAAAAUAUUAAUGAUUCCAGCUUGCCGUUGGAUUCAAGUACUUGUGGGUAUUGGUUUUUUUGCUUCUUUGAUGUGCAAUAUUCAUCUUCC
This 448-nucleotide long non-coding RNA is filed under the name Panax ginseng (ginseng). RNAcentral describes it as "long non-coding RNA (PGIN_LNC008295)". Lineage: Eukaryota; Viridiplantae; Streptophyta; Magnoliopsida; Apiales; Araliaceae. The record is from RNAcentral.